GACGAACGCUGGCGGCGUGCCUAACACAUGCAAGUCGAACGGAGUGUUUAUUUAUAAACACUUAGUGGCGAACGGGUGAGUAACGCGUAGACAACCUACCCUCUAGAUGGGGACAACACCGCGAAAGUGGUGCUAAUACCGAAUGUUGUAAUGUUGUUGCAUAAUGAUAUUACUAAAGGUGGCCUCUAUAUAUAAGCUACCGCUAGAAGAUGGGUCUGCGUCUGAUUAGCUAGUUGGUGAGAUAACAGCUCACCAAGGCAAUGAUCAGUAGCCGGUCUGAGAGGAUGAACGGCCACACUGGGACUGAGACACGGCCCAGAAUCCUACGGGAGGCAGCAGUGGGGAAUCUUCCGAAAUGGACGAAAGUCUGACGGAGCAACGCCGCGUGAGUGAAGAAGGUUUUCGGAUCGUAAAGCUCUGUCUUCAAGGACGAAUGUAGAUAUUGUGAAUAAUGAUAUUUAAUGACGGUACUUGAGGAGGAAGCCACGGCUAACUACGUGCCAGCAGCCGCCGUAA
This 516-nucleotide ribosomal RNA is filed under the name uncultured bacterium. RNAcentral's name for it is "partial 16S ribosomal RNA". It matches the Rfam family "Bacterial small subunit ribosomal RNA", at positions 28 to 523 of the family's 1533-position model. The record is from RNAcentral.